UAGAGGUGUGGUCAUUUUAAGCUUUUCUUGGUUGGUCACGCAUGCCCAAGUUCAAUACCCUCCUCAAGUUUAUGAUGCACACAUUUUUAACCAUGGGGGCAUUUACACACACACACACACACACACACACACACACACACACACACACACACACACACACACACACACACUUACACGUGAAGAUGUUUUACAAAGCUGGAACACAGAGACCCACCCAUCCCUUUCUACAGUAAAACACUAUCAUUUGAUUAUGUACUGCAAGAACAGACAUGGAUAAUAGAUGGCCAGAGUUAAAGCCACACUAAAGCUGAUGCAUGAAGCCAUUUGGGCCACAGCUCCCCACUGACUCUGGGUCAGCGUCCGCCAGCAUAUUCCUGAGUAAAGGCUUUUUAAAGAAGGCAGAAGGGUUGCAGCUACAGCCACACUAAAUAUAUACAUUUUUCAUUAAACUAAGCUCUUGCAUGGUUCUAAGCAGGCUCUUACAUGGUUCUAAGCAGGUUCUUACGUGGUUCUAAGCAGGCCCUUACAUGGUUCUAAGCAGACUCUUACGUGGUUCUAAGCAGGCUCUUACAUGGUUCUAAGCAGGUAGACAGAGACUGUUUUGGGUCGCUGGCAUUUUAUCAAGCAGAAUCAUGAUUGAUUUGAGCAGGUUGUUUACCUAAUGGAGCCAGAAAUGUAAUUAGGCAUGUGUGUGGUAAUUGGACAUUAACCUUUUUAUGCAGCAUAGCAUAGAUGUUGUUUUUAUAAACAGAAAGCAGGUGCAAAGGCUCAGUGGAGAGUUAAAAGGAAUUUAUGGUUGCCGUUGUCAUCUUUGUGCAUAGCCCCAAAAGUGACAUCAUUACUGCUGGCACGUGGUGUGCUUUGGUGUCGUUUCAGCUGGUCGCGCACGUCCCAAUUUUUGUAAUUUGGCGCGCGGGGCGCAGCUGGCGAAUAUGCAAAACGGACGAGCUAGAGGUACGGGUCUGUGAGCAGGUCCGUCUUUACAGGCAUCUCCAAUGCAUGAGCAUAAGGAUUCCCAGAUGGCACAGAACUCGUGGAGGGAGAUUGCUGCGACAGUUGGAAAGGAUGAGACGUUUGUGUGGUUUACUAACGUUACUGUCUUGCCUGAUGAAGCAUUUAAUCUAUGCUCACACGUAAUAUCUUUUCCUGAUGAAAAAAAAAAACAAAAAAAACACUGUUCUAUAAUGUAGUUGAGAGGGUUUUUGUUACUGUAACAACUUAGUUCCUGUACAGGCUAGUUUAGCUAGCGACUAGCAAUAAACACAAACACUAACCAGAAACUUUUAGAGCCUGACCAGUUUAAUCCAUAAAUGAAUACUGGUGAUCCAGUUUAACUGUCUUGUCAUUUCACUGUUCUCUACUCAGCACAUUACCUCUUAGCAUUGCUGCUACCAGCGCUUAAUCCACAAAUACUAGAGAUACAGUUUAACUGUCAUGUACAUUUCACUGAGCUCUUAUUCGACACGUUACCCUCCAGCGGUUUAAAUGGAAUUUUUCUCGGCAGCAACACCUAUCAGGUAGGAGAAGAGCACAGAGAGUCAAACACGCCUCUAGCUAGAGAAUAAAAGCUAAUGCCGCUGUGUUGACGUCACAGUGCGCUGAUUCCUCAGGGGGCUUACAUUUAAGGAUCUUAUAACACUCCAGCUGCACACUGUGCUUCUGUGGUGGGUCUAGCAGUUCACUAGCUGCCUCUUAGCCCA
This is a long non-coding RNA of Clupea harengus (Atlantic herring), 1700 nucleotides long. NCBI's taxonomy places the organism in Eukaryota, Metazoa, Chordata, Actinopteri, Clupeiformes, Clupeidae. The record is from Ensembl.